RNAcentral lists this non-coding RNA (115 nucleotides) under Spathaspora passalidarum. RNAcentral describes it as "TPP sequence". It matches the Rfam family "TPP riboswitch aptamer (THI element)". From Rfam's summary of the family: Vitamin B(1) in its active form thiamin pyrophosphate (TPP) is an essential coenzyme that is synthesised by coupling of pyrimidine and thiazole moieties in bacteria. RNAcentral also lists the same sequence under 1 other name. Lineage: Eukaryota; Fungi; Ascomycota; Pichiomycetes; Serinales; Debaryomycetaceae. The record is from RNAcentral.
UCACAAACUGACGGGUGUCCCUAUCUUUCCAGUAAUGGAAGGAAAGGGCCUGAGAAUAUACCGUACGAACUCGAUCAAGCUAAUACUUGCGUGAGGAAAAGUUUGUGUUGAAAAA